UGAACGCUAGCGACAGGCUAACACAUGCAAGUCGAGGGCGAGCAUAAAAGUAGCAAUACGUUGGUGGCGACCGGCGCACGGGUGAGUAACGCGUAUGCAACCUACCUAUCAGAGGGGAAUAACCCGGCGAAAGUCGGACUAAUACCGCAUAAAACAGGGGCACCGCAUGGUGAUAUUUGUUAAAGAAAUUCGCUGAUAGAUGGGCAUGCGUUCCAUUAGGUAGUUGGUGAGGUAACGGCUCACCAAGCCGACGAUGGAUAGGGGAACUGAGAGGUUGGUCCCCCACACUGGUACUGAGACACGGACCAGACUCCUACGGGAGGCAGCAGUGAGGAAUAUUGGUCAAUGGGCGGGAGCCUGAACCAGCCAAGUCGCGUGAAGGAAGAAGGAUCUAUGGUUCGUAAACUUCUUUUGCAGGGGAAUAAAGUGCAGGACGUGUCCUGUUUUGUAUGUACCCUGAGAAUAAGGAUCGGCUAACUCCGUGCCAGCCGCCGC
Molecule: ribosomal RNA, 495 nt
Filed under: uncultured bacterium
Lineage: Bacteria
Description: bacterial SSU rRNA
Rfam family: Bacterial small subunit ribosomal RNA
Source: RNAcentral